Molecule: long non-coding RNA, 1897 nt
Organism: Xiphias gladius (swordfish)
Lineage: Eukaryota; Metazoa; Chordata; Actinopteri; Istiophoriformes; Xiphiidae
Exons: 3
Source: RefSeq, a predicted model, not a curated record
CUGAGUUCACCCAUCCCGUUAGUCGAAGCCACAUUGCCGAGCUGCACAGGCAGAAGCGUGUGUAACAGGCACAGCGGGCUGGGUUCAUAUCUACCGGGGAAUAGCACGGCUCCGGAGUCGAGCACAUGAUCAGCAGGCAGCGGCGGGGAGGGGACGCACUCCUGCACCGACCCCUGGACGUCUGAAAGAUUGGGAGGAAAUGAUUAUUUUUUUUAUUGAACGGACGCCCACAGGAAUUUCCACCGGAGGAACCGGUCCAGCAAAUUCCUCAGCGCCACUCAGAAAGACUGGUCUGGUGAGCAGGAGCCUUCACGGUGAGGAAGAGGAGCGCGCCCCCGAGUGUGUGAUCGCAUAUCAGCUUUAUCAGCGAGACACACACUCGAGCGCCGCAUCGGUCCCCGCGGAGAAAGACGCGGGUCGCUCGCACAGUUGCACUUGUCUCUCCUACCUGUUGUGUGUCGGCUCAUCUCCGGUUCCUCACUGGCGGAUCGUUUCCUCGACAGUUUUUCUCCUCGUCGUGUUGAAGCCAACCGCCCCCUUGACUUCACGAGCCCGGAGAGCUGCGCUGGCACCGGGCGCUCUGUUCUUACUGCGGUACCGGAGAACGGGACCGGCUGGACCGCGGCCGCUCGCCGCCUCGCUCCGCCAUGUUGCGUCCGUUCAGCAGCGGCCGUCUCAGCUAACCCCGCGGACGGGACGCGGCUCGGCUCAUUUAUAAGCUAGAGAGGGCGGAGAAAAGACGGGAGGACGGACAGAAAGUGCAGACCCAAGAGCAGGGCCGUGGCCGGGAUGCCGGGAAGGCCACGGGGGUCCCCCUGCUCCCCCAGGUCUUGACCGAACACUUUGAUUAUCGUUGAUAGAUAGUUUACACUUCGUUCGGUCAGCCUGCGUAUUUCUCCAAAUUUGAUGUCUCGACAUUUCGGUCUAAAUGCUGCCUCAAGGUUUUGAAGCCUUAAGCCGAUGCAGCCCUGAAGUCCUUUUCAUCUCGUCCACGGAGGGUAAUGUCUCGUGGUCUGCCCAUGCUGUGUUGUAUUCACAAAAGAUAUGGGUCUUGUGUAAUAAUCUUUCUCUGGCUCCCAACCUUCUGCCUUAAUGUUUAGAGUAAGUUGACUAAAUUUAAGAAUAACGACAUGUUUUUUUUUUUGAGUUAAGGAACGGACACAUCAAAGAAAGAAAGAGAUUUGAGAAUCAGAUGAACAGAUGUAAUUUAACACAAUUCUUCUACCAUAUGUCCUCUCACUAGUGAAUUUCACAUCAUAUAACCUGACAAGAGGGAGAAUGAACACAUUCAGUUUUAAAGGUUUACACUUUAGGACAACUGGAGUGCCUCGGCACACAUCAAAGACUGGCUGAGCAUUUACCUUGUGGAAACUGCUGCAGAACGAGAUGCCGCUUCCUUUCUUUACUACAAGAACCACAGGAUACAGGGCUCAGUGACGCCGAGGCCAGUCAUCACCUGAAUCUCAUCCAUCAGCACGGGAUUCGAUGGGGAGGAAUGAUGGACUGGAGCACUACCAGUUGAGAGGAAGAGUAGCUGAUGUGAAAGAACCUGCCACUCCCACCUGCCCUGCAGAAACUCCAGCCCUUCCCACCUUCCAGCCUCUGACUCCUCCCCGCCCACCUGUUCACCUGUUCCUCAUUCCCCAGUAACUUCCUAGUAUAUAUACCGUUCCAUUUCCACCCACACUCUGCCAGAUUUUCUAUUGUGCCUGCCCAGCCAGCUGUAGAGUUCCAGCCUUACUUACCUGUUUUUGGACUUUGCCUUUUGCCUGCUCCUUUGCCUUUUUUACCUGGUUCUCCUGUCCGACCACUGCCAGUUCCCUGACUUUGCCUUCUGUUUAUUCUUGCCUACUUUUUUCUGCAGAGUCUGAAUAAAGGUGAACUGUUUUGAAUAUUU